UAGUAGCGGCGAGCGAACGGGGAGCAGCCCUUAAGCUGUUUAGAAUUUAGUGGAAUCCUUUGGGAAGAGGAGCGAUACAAGGUGAUAGCCCUGUACACGACGGAUUCUUUACAGUGAAAUCGAGUAGGUCGGGACACGUGUUAUCUUGACUGAAUGUGGGGGGACCAUCCUCCAAGGCUAAAUACUACUAACUGACCGAUAGUGAACCAGUACCGUGAGGGAAAGGCGAAAAGAACCCCUGUGAGGGGAGUGAAAUAGAACCUGAAACCGUAUGCGUACAAGCAGUAGGAGCAGACUUGUUCUGUGACUGCGUACCUUUUGUAUAAUGGGUCAGCGACUUAUGUUCAGUGGCGAGGUUAACCGUUUAGGGGAGCCGUAGGGAAACCGAGUCUGAAUAGGGCGAUUUAGUCGCUGGGCAUAGACCCGAAACCGGGCGAUCUAUCCAUGGCCAGGGUGAAGGUUAGGUAACACUGACUGGAGGCCCGAACCCACUUAUGUUGAAAAAUGAGGGGAUGAGCUGUGGAUUGGAGUGAAAGGCUAAACAAGCUCGGAGAUAGCUGGUUCUCCCCGAAAGCUAUUUAGGUAGCGCCUCGGACGAAUACCACAGGGGGUAGAGCACUGUUUCGGCUAGGGGGUCAUCCCGACUUACCAACCCGAUGCAAACUCCGAAUACCUGUGAGUACUAUCCGGGAGACACACGGCGGGUGCUAACGUCCGUCGUGAAGAGGGAAACAACCCAGACCGCCAGCUAAGGUCCCCAAGUACCAGUUAAGUGGGAAACGAUGUGGGAAGGCUCAGACAGCUAGGAGGUUGGCUUAGAAGCAGCCAUCCUUUAAAGAUAGCGUAACAGCUCACUGGUCUAAAUAAGUUAUCCUGCGGCGAAGAUGUAACGGGGCUCAAGCCAUGAGCCGAAGCUUAGGAUGCCGUAAGGCAUGGUAGCAGAGCGUAGUGUG
Molecule: ribosomal RNA, 953 nt
Filed under: uncultured Chlorophyceae
Lineage: Eukaryota; Viridiplantae; Chlorophyta; Chlorophyceae
Description: partial Bacterial large subunit ribosomal RNA
Rfam family: Bacterial large subunit ribosomal RNA
Source: RNAcentral